RNAcentral lists this long non-coding RNA (232 nucleotides) under Elaeis guineensis (African oil palm). Its description in RNAcentral is "long non-coding RNA (EGUI_LNC055379)". Lineage: Eukaryota; Viridiplantae; Streptophyta; Magnoliopsida; Arecales; Arecaceae. The record is from RNAcentral.
CUCAGAAAAUUGGCAUGGACAUGGUAUUCAAGACUCCAACUUAGGUCUAAUCAUUUGUUCGAAUAGCUCGAUAGGCUGUUUGUUGCUGACUUUGAUAGCAACUAAGCUCAAUCAAAAAAUUUCAAUAGCCUCUUCUCACUCCGAUAAGAAGACGGUGAGUCACUACGUGAACUAUGUCAUGCACUUCAAUGCCACUAUACUAGAGGUGGACAACCUUGAUGUGUCAAUGGCA